RNAcentral lists this unclassified non-coding RNA (233 nucleotides) under plant metagenome. Its description in RNAcentral is "partial contains small subunit ribosomal RNA, internal transcribed spacer 1, and 5.8S ribosomal RNA". The record is from RNAcentral.
UUUCCGUAGGUGAACCUGCGGAAGGAUCAUUAUUGGAUUUUGAAACUUCAGGCUUCUGCUGGCUCUCCUCGGAGGGCAUGUGCACGCUUGUUGUCCAUUAUUUCUCCCACUGUGCACAAAUUGUAGACCUUUCAGUAGGCCUAUGUUGUUUUUCACAAUCUCUGAAUGUAAUAGAAUGGUUUUGAAUCUUGGGAAAUACAAUACAACUUUCAGCAACGGAUCUCUUGGCUCUC